Molecule: ribosomal RNA, 773 nt
Filed under: uncultured Neocallimastigales
Lineage: Eukaryota; Fungi; Neocallimastigomycota; Neocallimastigomycetes; Neocallimastigales
Description: partial large subunit ribosomal RNA
Rfam family: Eukaryotic large subunit ribosomal RNA
Source: RNAcentral
GUACACGCUGUGACUAGCAUAUCAAUAAGCGGAGGAAAAGAAACUAACAAGGAUUCCCCUAGUAACGGCGAGUGAAGCGGGAAGAGCUCAAAUUUGAAAUCUUAAAGGGUUUCCCUUUACGAAUUGUAGUUUAAAGAAGUGUUUUCUGUUGAGGUUUUGGUAAAAGUUCCUUGGAAUAGGACAUCAUAGAGGGUGAGAAUCCCGUAUUUGACCUUUACUUUCAACUUUGUGAUACACUUUCAAAGAGUCGGAUUGUUUGGGAAUGCAGUCCAAAAUGGGUGGUAAAUUUCAUCUAAAGCUAAAUAUUGGCGAGAGACCGAUAGCGAACAAGUACCGUGAGGGAAAGAUGAAAAGAACUUUGAAAAGAGAGUUAAACAGUACGUGAAAUUGUCAAAAGGGAAGCGUUUGACACCAGUGUUAUUUUUCUGAAAAUCAAUUAAAGAACUGUUUAUGCUAAGUUGUUUAGACUUUAUCAGCUAACUGUUUAGUUUUGAGCUUUUCUUUAAUGCACUUUUCAGUUAACAAGUCAACAUCAAUUUCUUUUGCUGUAAAAAAGCUUGAGGAAGGUGGCUUGAGAUUCGUCUUAAGUGUUUAUAGCCUCUUGCCUAUGCAGUCGGAGAGAUUGAGGUCUGCAGCGUAGAUCCUUCGGGGCUAAAUGCAUUUGUGCUAAGUUAUAGCAUUUCAUAGACAACUUGUUGACUAUGAUUUGUCUUGUAGCUUACUCGCUUAUGUUAUUUUACCUACGCUUAGGAUGUGACAGCAGUAUAGACUGU